UGCAAGGCUUAAUCAAAGGAAAAGCUGACACUGUUUAACUGCAGGUGAGCUUUUAAGUUGGUACACUUUUAUUACAAUUCUUUUAUUAAACAACCUAUUACUAGUGGUGAGUAGAAUAUCCCAACCCUUAAUUAGAUGGAAGUAGAUUAACCAUUUUAUUAAUCAUCAUCAUUAUUAUUAUUACCGAGGUAGCAACCUCA
Molecule: long non-coding RNA, 200 nt
Filed under: Sorghum bicolor (sorghum)
Lineage: Eukaryota; Viridiplantae; Streptophyta; Magnoliopsida; Poales; Poaceae
Description: long non-coding RNA (SBIC_LNC014567)
Source: RNAcentral